GCAGUCCUUUAUAUGUUGGAUAUGUUGCAGUAUAUCCUAGAUACAAUAUAUGUUUGCAGAACCGAACAGUUCUCUUGUUGCAUAGGGAGAAUUGGAUUCAGAAGGUAUAAAUAACCCGGGGAGAAAAACAAAAAUGCAGAUAGUUCACAUUCGUUUCCCAGUGUUCUUUCUUUGGGUGUAGCUGCUUUUGUCCGUCAUUUAUCAAUUGAAACUCAGUUAGGUCUCUUUGUCAAAGAAAUCCCCUUCCAUCAAAA
This is a long non-coding RNA of Antechinus flavipes (yellow-footed antechinus), 254 nucleotides long. RefSeq lists it as uncharacterized. Lineage: Eukaryota; Metazoa; Chordata; Mammalia; Dasyuromorphia; Dasyuridae. The transcript has 2 exons. The record is from RefSeq and is a predicted model, not a curated record.